This 704-nucleotide ribosomal RNA is filed under the name uncultured low G+C Gram-positive bacterium. Its description in RNAcentral is "bacterial SSU rRNA". It matches the Rfam family "Bacterial small subunit ribosomal RNA", at positions 354 to 1048 of the family's 1533-position model. The record is from RNAcentral. Lineage: Bacteria; Bacillati; Bacillota.
GUGGGGAUCUUCCCAAUGGGCGCAAGCCUGAUGGAGCAACGCCGCGUGAGUGAAGAAGGUCUUAGGAUUGUAAAGCUCUGUCCUUAGGGAAGAACCGUGGAUGCAGCAAAUGGCAUCCACCUGACGGUACCUUUGGAGGAAGCACUGGCUAACUACGUGCCAGCAGCCGCGGUAAUACGUAGAGUGCAAGCNGUUGUCCGGAAUUAUUGGGCGUAAAGGGUACGCAGGCGGAUAGUAAAGUCAAGCGUGAAAGGUGUCGGCUUAACCGACAGACUGCGUUUGAAACUGAUUAUCUUGAGUGUAACAGAGGAGAGUGGAAUUCCUAGUGUAGUGGUGAAAUACGUAGAUAUUAGGAAGAACACCAGUGGCGAAGGCGACUCUCUGGGUUAACACUGACGCUGAGGUACGAAAGCUGGGGGAGCGAACGGGAUUAGAUACCCCGGUAGUCCCAGCCGUAAACGAUGGAUACUAGGUGUUGGAGGUUCGAAUCCUUCAGUGCCGGAGUUAACGCAUUAAGUAUNCCGCCUGGGGAUUACNGUCGCAAGACUGAAACUCAAAGGAAUUGACGGGGGCCCCCACAAGCGGNGGAGCAUGUGGGUUNAUUCGAAGCAACGCGAANAACCUUACCGAGAAUUGACAUNCCGUGACCAUNUAUGANAGUAGAGUUUGNCACUNUGGGACCCACGGAAACANGGGGGGCAUGG